UGGGGGAUAUUGCACAAUGGAGGCAACUCUGAUGCAGCAACGCCGCGUGAGUGAAGAAGGCUUUCGAGUCGUAAAACUCUGUCGUAUGGGAAGAAAAAAAUGACGGUACCAUACAAGAAAGCCCCGGCUAACUACGUGCCAGCAGCCGCGGUAAUACGUAGGGGGCAAGCGUUAUCCGGAAUUACUGGGCGUAAAGGGUGCGUAGGCGGUAAUAUAAGUUGGAGUUUUAAACCAUGGGCUCAACCCAUGUCAGGCUCCAAAACUGUAUAACUUGAGUACUGGAGAGGAAAGUGGAAUUCCUAGUGUAGCGGUGAAAUGCGUAGAUAUUAGGAGGAAUACCGGUGGCGAAGGCGACUUUCUGGACAGUAACUGACGCUGAGGCACGAAAGCGUGGGUAGCAAACAGG
This 406-nucleotide ribosomal RNA is filed under the name uncultured Eubacterium sp. Its description in RNAcentral is "bacterial SSU rRNA". It matches the Rfam family "Bacterial small subunit ribosomal RNA", at positions 355 to 776 of the family's 1533-position model. The record is from RNAcentral. Lineage: Bacteria; Bacillati; Bacillota; Clostridia; Eubacteriales; Eubacteriaceae.